AUUCUCAUAUACCAAACCCCCAUUCUCAAAUACCCGACAACCCCGCCGAGUCGCCUGUGCCACACACACAAGCCAAACUAUAAUCUAUCAAGCAAACAAACCGGCAAUGGAUAUGGAAAAGCGAUAGGUGGACUAGCAUGGUCAAGCGACAAUGAACGCAGAGAAUAACCCGGAACUGAUGCCACAGGUCUGGUCCCCGGGAGAAACUUCCACCCAAUGACUCGCUUCGUAAGACGCUCAGAAUCUGCUACUGAAACAAAAAACAGCCAUACCAACAGGUUCCCAUGCAGGCACAACAACUGUUUGACAACGUUUGAGACGUUAAACGAGUGGCGAGAGAAAAGAUGAACAGAGAAG
Non-coding RNA from Paramuricea clavata, 357 nucleotides. Lineage: Eukaryota; Metazoa; Cnidaria; Anthozoa; Malacalcyonacea; Plexauridae. The record is from the annotation of a GenBank genome assembly.